UAACGCGUGGGCAACCUGCCCCAUANAGGGGGACGAACAGCUGGUAAACGGCUGCUAAUACCGCAUAACAAGGAGAGAGCGCAUGUUCUUUUCUUCAAAGAUUUAUCGCUAUGGGAUGGACCCGCGUCUGAUUAGCUAGUUGGUGAGGUAACGGCUCACCAAGGCGACGAUCAGUAGCCGGCUUGAGAGAGUGAACGGCCACAUUGGGACUGAGACACGGCCCAGACUCCUACGGGAGGCAGCAG
This 245-nucleotide ribosomal RNA is filed under the name uncultured bacterium. RNAcentral's name for it is "partial 16S ribosomal RNA". It matches the Rfam family "Bacterial small subunit ribosomal RNA", at positions 111 to 354 of the family's 1533-position model. The record is from RNAcentral.